AGAUUUAUCUUCUCAAUUUUCAGAUUUUCUAUGCACUCUUUUCUGCAAUUGUUGGCUUCUUGCUUGGGGCAAGUGAUGGUCUAGCAAGAUUCAUUCUGUUGAUGCUGUUCAUGAGCUUUUUGAGCAGUUUCCUGAAGCUUUCAUGAAGUAUCUUCAUGUGCCAACCAAAGAGAGUUCUUUUUAUGCUUCCAAUCAGGUGAGUCGACCAUUAUAUUUGGAGCGUUGUGAUUACGUAUUCUUCUAAUUGAAUUUAUGCAAUCUUUGCUGUUAUAUUUAACACUUUUUAUGAAUAAAGAUGGAAUGUCUAUGAUUCCACAUGUAAUAUGCUUCAAUUUUUCCACUUGGUGUGUUAGACUUAUCCUUUAUUUUGUGUAUAUCAUU
Long non-coding RNA from Nymphaea colorata (pocket water lily), 381 nucleotides. RefSeq lists it as uncharacterized. NCBI's taxonomy places the organism in Eukaryota, Viridiplantae, Streptophyta, Magnoliopsida, Nymphaeales, Nymphaeaceae. The transcript is spliced from 3 exons. The record is from RefSeq and is a predicted model, not a curated record.